UUAGUCCGCACGAGCGCAACCCUUAUCAUUAGUUGCUACGCAAGGGCACUCUAAUGAGACUGCCGGUGACAAACCGGAGGAAGUGGGGAUGACGUCAAGUCCUCAUGGCCCUUAUGGGUAGGGCUUCACACGUCAUACAAUGGUCGGUACAGAGGGUUGCCAAGCCGCGAGGCGGAGCCAAUCCCACAAAGCCGAUCGUAGUCCGGAUUGUUCUCUGCAACUCGAGAGCAUGAAGUCGGAAUCGCUAGUAAUCGCAGGUCAGCAUACUGCGGUGAAUACGUUCCCGGGUCUU
This 292-nucleotide ribosomal RNA is filed under the name uncultured Thiobacillus sp. RNAcentral's name for it is "partial 16S ribosomal RNA". It matches the Rfam family "Bacterial small subunit ribosomal RNA", at positions 1081 to 1382 of the family's 1533-position model. The record is from RNAcentral. Lineage: Bacteria; Pseudomonadati; Pseudomonadota; Betaproteobacteria; Nitrosomonadales; Thiobacillaceae.